AGAGUUUGAUCCUGGCUCAGAACGAACGUUGGCGGCGUGGAUUAGGCAUGCAAGUCGAACGAAGACACUCUGGAUAGCAAUAUUUGGAGUGGACUGAGUGGCGAAAGGGGCAGUAAUGCGUGGGUAACCUACCCUGGGGAUGGGCAUAGCCGGUCUAACGGCCGGGUAAUUCCCAGCGAUUCGGCGAGGAGGCAUCUUCUUGCCGGGAAAUGAGUUUCGCCUCGGGAGGGGCUCACGUCGUAUUAGCUAGUUGGUGGGGUAACGGCCUACCAAGGCAAAGAUGCGUAGCGGGUGUGAGAGCACGACCCGCGCCACUGGCACUGAGACACUGGCCAGACACCUACGGGUGGCUGCAGUCGAGAAUCUUCGGCAAUGGGCGCAAGCCUGACCGAGCGACGCCGCGUGUGCGAUGAAGGCCUUCGGGUUGUAAAGCACUGUCGAGGGGGAUCAAGGCGCAAGCUUGAGAGAUCCCCUGGAGGAAGCACGGGCUAACUUCGUGCAGCAGCCGCGGUAAGAC
This 517-nucleotide ribosomal RNA is filed under the name uncultured bacterium. Its description in RNAcentral is "bacterial SSU rRNA". It matches the Rfam family "Bacterial small subunit ribosomal RNA", at positions 8 to 526 of the family's 1533-position model. The record is from RNAcentral.